Molecule: ribosomal RNA, 433 nt
Filed under: uncultured bacterium
Lineage: Bacteria
Description: partial 16S ribosomal RNA
Rfam family: Bacterial small subunit ribosomal RNA
Source: RNAcentral
AACGAACGCUGGCGGCAUGCCUAACACAUGCAAGUCGAACGAGACCUUCGGGUCUAGUGGCGCACGGGUGCGUAACGCGUGGGAACCUUCCCUUAUGUUCGGAAUAACUCCCCGAAAGGGGUGCUAAUACCGGAUAAUGUCUUCGGACCAAAGAUUUAUCGCCUUUGGAUGUGCCCGCGUUGGAUUAGCUAGUUGGUAGGGUAAAAGCCUACCAAGGCGACGAUCCAUAGCUGGUCUGAGAGGAUGAUCAGCCACACUGGGACUGAGACACGGCCCAGACUCCUACGGGAGGCAGCAGUGGGGAAUAUUGGACAAUGGGCGAAAGGCUGAUCCAGCAAUGCCGCGUGAGUGAUGAAGGCCUUAGGGUUGUAAAGCUCUUUUACCCGGGAUGAUAAUGACAGUACCGGGAGAAUAAGCUCCGGCUAACUCCGUG